GACGAACGCUGGCGGCGUGCUUAACACAUGCAAGUCGAGCGGUAAGGCCCCUUCGGGGGUACACGAGCGGCGAACGGGUGAGUAACACGUGAGCAAUCUGCCCAUCACAUCGGGAUAACUCCGGGAAACCGAAGCUAAUACCGAAUACGACCACCUCCGGCAUCGGAUGGUGGUGGAAAGUUCCGGCGGUGAUGGAUGAGCUCGCGGCCUAUCAGCUUGUUGGUGGGGUUACGGCCCACCAAGGCUUCGACGGGUAGCCGGCCUGAGAGGGUGACCGGCCACACUGGGACUGAGACACGGCCCAGACUCCUACGGGAGGCAGCAGUGGGGAAUAUUGGACAAUGGGCGAAAGCCUGAUCCAGCAACGCCGCGUGAGGGAUGACGGCCUUCGGGUUGUAAACCUCUUUCAGCAGGGACGAAGCGCAAGUGACGGUACCUGCAGAAGAAGCACCGGCCAACUACGUG
RNAcentral lists this ribosomal RNA (465 nucleotides) under uncultured bacterium. RNAcentral describes it as "partial 16S ribosomal RNA". It matches the Rfam family "Bacterial small subunit ribosomal RNA", at positions 28 to 507 of the family's 1533-position model. The record is from RNAcentral.